RNAcentral lists this non-coding RNA (175 nucleotides) under bovine gut metagenome. The record is from RNAcentral.
UUUUGUUGGUGUUUUGAACAAACUUAAUAGGAAAUUCCGUUAGAAUCGGAAGCACUCCCGGUGCUGUGAUAGGGAACGAAAAACUUUUUGAAACAAAGUCACUGCUUAAUUUAAGCGGGAAGAUAAAGUUUAGUAGGUUAUUACCCUUAAGCCAGAAGACCUGCCAACAGAUACA